Molecule: ribosomal RNA, 497 nt
Filed under: uncultured bacterium
Lineage: Bacteria
Description: partial 16S ribosomal RNA
Rfam family: Bacterial small subunit ribosomal RNA
Source: RNAcentral
ACUCAAAGGAAUUGACGGGGGCCCGCACAAGCGGCGGAGCAUGCGGAUUAAUUCGAUGCAACGCGAAGAACCUUACCAAGGCUUGACAUAUACAGGAAAUGGCUAGAAAUAGUCCCCCCGCAAGGUCUGUAUACAGGUGGUGCAUGGUUGUCGUCAGCUCGUGUCGUGAGAUGUUGGGUUAAGUCCCGCAACGAGCGCAACCCUCGUCCUAUGUUGCCAGCACGUAAUGGUGGGAACUCAUGGGAGACUGCCGGGGUCAACUCGGAGGAAGGUGGGGAUGACGUCAAAUCAUCAUGCCCCUUAUGUCUUGGGCUUCACGCAUGCUACAAUGGCCGGUACAAAGGGCUGCAAUACCGUAAGGUGGAGCGAAUCCCAAAAAGCCGGUCUCAGUUCGGAUUGAGGUCUGCAACUCGACCUCAUGAAGUUGGAGUCGCUAGUAAUCGUAGAUCAGCAACGCUACGGUGAAUACGUUCCCGGGCCUUGUACACACCGCCCGU